Molecule: ribosomal RNA, 253 nt
Filed under: uncultured bacterium
Lineage: Bacteria
Description: partial 16S ribosomal RNA
Rfam family: Bacterial small subunit ribosomal RNA
Source: RNAcentral
UACGUAGGCAGCAAGCGUUGUUCGGAGUUACUGGGCGUAAAGGGUGCGUAGGCGGCCCUGUAAGUACCUUGUGAAAUCCCACGGCUCAACCGUGGAACUGCUUGGUAUACUGGGUGUCUUGAGUCACUCAGGGGCGAGCGGAACAAAUGGUGGAGCGGUGAAAUGCGUAGAUAUCAUUUGGAACGCCAAUGGUGAAAACAGCUCGCUGGGGGUGCACUGACACUGAGACACGAAAGCCAGGGGAGCGAACGGG